AUGGAUAUAUGAACGAACCCAAAAGCCACAUCAGAAAACGAAAACGUAGAGAAGAUGAUGAUGAUGAUGACGAUGAUGAAGAAGAAGAAGAAGAAGAAGAAGAGAGAGAGAUGGGAGGAGGUUAGUGGAUAUGAGAGAAGGAGAUAUCCCUCUUUGUCAUCCCCAAUGGCAAAUCAACUCAGAAUAUCUAUUUGCAUUUUUUAUCUUCGAGUAAUGGGAAAAAAAUAGUUCAAAAAAUAAAAAGAUGGCAAGGGCUAAGGAGGGUGGAAGCCUACGGCUGAA
This 282-nucleotide long non-coding RNA is filed under the name Linum usitatissimum (flax). Its description in RNAcentral is "long non-coding RNA (LUSI_LNC002971)". The record is from RNAcentral. Lineage: Eukaryota; Viridiplantae; Streptophyta; Magnoliopsida; Malpighiales; Linaceae.